Molecule: long non-coding RNA, 274 nt
Organism: Polypterus senegalus (gray bichir)
Lineage: Eukaryota; Metazoa; Chordata; Cladistia; Polypteriformes; Polypteridae
Exons: 3
Source: RefSeq, a predicted model, not a curated record
UAGGCAAGUUAAGAAAAUGGAUGAAUCUUCAAAAGUAUGAAGUAAAAUGUUUCAAUCAAAGGUGGAAGACCUUUGUGGGAUGAUAGAUAAACUGGACAAAAGUGGUGUGGAAAUAGUUGUCAUUGUCCACAUCAGAGCAAAUGAUUAAAUGAUUGGUAGGCUGCUGGUUCUGCAAGAUGAAUUUAAGGAGUUAAGAAGAGAAGAUAAACUGACAAGUUCCGUCUCUGCCAAGUACCAGUCCAGCUUAUAUGGAAACAUCAAGUGAAACCACGCA